Non-coding RNA from Podarcis lilfordi (Lilford's wall lizard), 3522 nucleotides. The record is from the annotation of a GenBank genome assembly. NCBI's taxonomy places the organism in Eukaryota, Metazoa, Chordata, Lepidosauria, Squamata, Lacertidae.
UACACAUGUUCCACGGGGCCUCUUUUAAAAGAUUCACCCUGUAUAUUAUUAUUGUAUUUUGUAUGUUUAUUAUUUUAUGGGAACUGCUUCAAUACUUUGACUUGAAGUGGUAUGUAUAUCCAGAUAAAUAAUAUCUUAAGUGCUGAGGCCUUAGCCCGUCAGAAUUCACAUGGUCAGUGGUGUGUUCCAUGGUGAAACCACUGUAAGAACGAGACAUUUAAAAUUAGCCAUUUACCACAUAGACUUUUCAUGUGUCCUUUACAGAGGACCAUCCACUAUCUUUUUCCACCUCUAGAAAACAAGCUCCCCACUGCUUUGCCGCUUCUCCUCUCAGUAAGUGGGAGCAACAUGUCAUGUUGGGAAACCAGAAGAGCACUGCUGUACCUGCCCUGCUUGCUACUGGAUCAUCAAUGGGUAUUUAGCACUAUUAUGACGUGGUUUUUAAGUGAAUCAAGCCAUAGAGGUCCGUUUUUCUAAGUUCAUGUCAAUCACAGUAAAAAUAAGCAAUUUCAUCCCACAGUUAUGGCCUUCAUCCACUUAUAUUUUCUUAGAUUAUGGCCAUGUUGUACUUUUCUGAGGUGAGAAAAACAAAUUUAAUGUUUGUUGUAACUUGAAAUAUUGCUGUAAAAUGGUUGGCCUAAUGCGGGAAUUGUGUGUCAUGUGUGAAUGUAAUUGCAAGUACUACCACUUUUUAGAGGUGCCAUAAUGGCAGAAUUAACUACUAUAUGUUUGGUAGGAUUAACUUCUAAUUCAGGGUGGUACCUGACUUAAGUCAUACUCAAAGUAGAUCCAUUAAAACAGUGGAUCAAGUUAAUCAUGACAAACUUGUUCAUUGAUUUCAGUGGAUUUACUAUGACUCAGUUGAAUAUAACAUUCAUAGUUUUUUGUGAUAGAGUGAUAUAUACACACACCCUACUGGGUUAGUAAUUUGAACCUUUGACCUUAUUUGCUGAAAAUAUCAUUUUAGUUUAGAAAACUAGAGAAUCACACAAAUGCAGAUACUGUGUAAGAAGAGACAUCUUUUAAAAGGACUGCUGUAAUAAAUAGAUUGUGGCAUUCAAGAUACAGUACAGGAAAUGAAAUGCUAUCUUCAAAGAUACGGUCUUUUUCAAAAACUAGUAACUGCAUUUCUAGCCCUUUCAUUCUCUUCAGAUUUUUUAAAACUUCAAUUGUAAUAGAUCAUUGUAUGUGAUCCAUUACAGCAUAUGAUCUAUUACAGUGCAUCUGAGAAGGGAAGAGAGAUUAAAAGCACUAAAAAUGAAUGCUCAUAUUUUACCUUUGGUUUGCAUGUAAUACAGGGAAUAAUUACAUAAGCUUUUCUAUACCUAAUAGAAUGGGACCUCCCUCCUCCUUCUAUUCCUUAAACCAUUUUAAGACUUUCUAAUAUUAUUAGAUAGUAUUGGUGAAAUAUAUCUUAUUUUUAUUCAGAAAUAACUCUGACAGUGCCAGAUGUAAAUGCUGGGUUUUCUUUUUCUUUUUUCUUUGGAUUAUUGAGAUUGCUUUUAACUGCAACUCGAUUGCUGAAAUCAUAAGGUGAAGGUUUUCAGAGUAUGGAGAUAAGCAAUAUUAUGUUCUAAUCUGUGCAGAUCAAGUUUCUGUGGGCUGGUUAAAAAAAGGUGUCAAGCCUUGCUAUCAUUGUUGGUAUUCCUCGGUCUCGAGCGACAAUGGUGUGUGCCUCCAGGGGUGAAGUGAAACCACUGUGUUAGCUGCACCAAAGUGACUUCCCAGGGGUACAAGUUGUGUAUGGAGGUUGUGGGCUGCCCAGAGUACAAGACCCCCCUCUCAGCCAUGCUGAUGUGGCCCACAGGAAAGCAGAGCAAUCCAUUGGACACCAUCUUUGCUGCAGGAGUUGCUGGAAUGAGGUGUACAAGGCACCAUUCAACCUCUCUACUCUACUCUGGGUUCUUCUUUUCAGGGUGUGGUUGCUGUGGCAUGCUGGUAGCUUCUAGGAGCCACGGGUGAGAGCUGAGUUCAAGGUGUGGACCAGAAGGAGCACAAUAUGCCUCCCACCACAGGCACUACCCCUUCCCUAAUACCCCAUUCACAUACAGAUUAUCAACACAUCUGAUAAUUUGAUUUUCAUGUCCUUCCUACUCCGUGGUUCUAAAUAUCUAGAUCCCUAUGGGUUGCUGCCACUGUGAACACAUAACAUUUAAGCCUGACUAUAGACAUGUCAGGUUGCCAUUUCUAAAGAUGGCAGAGCAGUCUUAAGUGGUGCCAGCUGCCAUUUCCAAACCAAUGUGGGUUUGCAGCAGCUAGAGUGAGAGGUCUGUGCAUGUCGUCGUUUUUUAAAACCAUCCAAUUGAAACCAAGAGGAAGGAAAUUAACUAUGCCAGCUCCAAACUGAUGCAGUUGGUACACCUGAUCCUGGGGCCUCUCAGAGGAAUGAAGGGGCUUUGGAUUCAAGGCUAUCUCUAUCCUACCCUUACCUUAUCCACAGAAUGCCCUGUGCAAGACCUACUGACAGCAAAAACAUAUCCUGCAGACCCUUAUGAUAAUGUGUACUGAGUUGCUUGUAGUAUUCUGGAUUCUACUCUCCAUAAUACUAUGGGGGAAAUUGUUAAUUUUAAAUUCUGUACUUUGAAAGGAUUAAAUAAAUAGAAUAUUUAGUUUUGUAAGGCUUCAUUAAAGCUGGAGUGGGGGGAAGUCAUCAGUCAGGAUAACAAGCCAGGAUUGUUCAUGAAUUGAAAUUGGGUACUGAGUUUUGGCAUUCUUUUCUGUUCAUUGCUCUUAGGACUACUGUUUAGGCCUAUUUGAUAUUCUGUGAUGGCUCACAAGAGGGGAAAAUGGGAUGCAAGUUUCCAUAGUACCUUACAGUGCAUUUCAUACUUUCUUAGCCUCAUAUUCCCUCUUUGUAUGUGCAUGCAUAUGUACAUUCAGUCUCCACUCAGUUUUGUUUUAAAGAAUAUAUAAGAUCGUGCCUACUGUUAUAUUAACAAGUAUGAACAGAGAUUUGUCUUUGAUAUUCAUGUACAUAUUUACCUCAAGAAUUCUCCUAUCUGCACUCUUUUGAUAAGUACCAGGAAUCUGGGAACAAUAAAUAGGUUAUGAGAAAUUCUCAGCAGCACCAAUGAAAAAAAACAGCAACAAAGCCUGAAAAUUGUCUGAUGUUAAGUUGUGGUAAAGCCCUCUUUUUAUAGAUGCUGUAGAAGUUCAGGUAGUAAAUCUGAUUUCUUGAAAAAUGCAUUUUGUUGAAACAUCCCACUGGAAAAUAUAAGACUGAACACACAUUUAUAUGGUACUUACUUGAACAAGCAGGCUUUUGUAAUUGCAGUCUAUAAUUUUGUCCUGGAAAUAUAUACAAUGAACAACUAGUUAAAAUAAUUGAAUAUCAACUCAAUAAUCAACACAAUUUGUUGAUUUGUUUGUCCCAGUUCUGAACAGAAUGAGUGUCAAAUAUUUUUCCUUCUCCUUUUCUGCUAUUUGAAUUGUUUGCCUUCUAAAAUUCCUUCCACCUUUAUAUUUGUUCUGUCACAUGCCAUGCUAUUAGGCUGGGGUGGCCAUACUACAUAUUAAGACUUU